AGGUGAAAAAAUUGAAGAAUUGCAUCAAUAGUUACAGAGAAUCGAUUUGCACGCAGAAACAGGUGCUCAAAGAUAAGGGAAUACAACAGCCAUCCAUGCUCCUUCCAUGUAAAGUUAGCAGCUGUUCGUGAUGCUUAUAGGCAUACACAAUCUAGUCUGGGCAUGUAAAACAGCAGCUGGUUCUAUUUUGAAAAUCUACAAAAUAGAGCUAAGGUCCUUUAAGCCAAGAAACUGCUAGUAUCUGAAGAGGACAAUUUAAGACAGGCCAUGAAAAUUGAUUAAAUGUCAAGUGGGGACAGUGAUUCUGUAAAUAAACUCGCCUGAACACAAAACCUCAGAUUUGACUGUCACAAGAUUUUAAAUCUUACAUGGUUAGACUAAAGUCAUUUACUAGACUGUAAAUACUAGAGACAGCUGAAUGCACAAGGACAAAAGCUGAGGUCUAAGUGAAUCAGAGAGGCCUUGUCACAAGAAAUGUUCAGAACUUGCAUGGUUUUUUUCCUUUAGGGCAUAUGACAAAAAAAUUGAGAGAUGUCAAUGAAAAUUUCUUUGAAUUUAAAAAAGGGCCAAUUCAAAGGUACACUUUUGGAAUUUGCAAGAACAAAAAUACCUUCAUGUUUACUUUUGAAUUAUAGUUGACAAUCUUCACUUUGCGGGGAACCUCUGAAAAUAAGUCAAAUGGAGGGGUUUGGUUUAUUGAAAUCGAUUAUUUUUUAAAGUAAAACAGAUGAAUUAUUGCUCUUUAAUUUCAACAUUUGCAUUUUACUAUUAAAAUUAUUUACAAGUGCAGCAUAUCGGUGACAUCAGAUUAUGGUAUUAUGUUUGGUUAAGCUACAUAUUUCUUUUUACUUAAACUUUCUG
Long non-coding RNA from Mytilus trossulus (common blue mussel), 861 nucleotides. RefSeq lists it as uncharacterized. NCBI's taxonomy places the organism in Eukaryota, Metazoa, Mollusca, Bivalvia, Mytilida, Mytilidae. The transcript has 3 exons. The record is from RefSeq and is a predicted model, not a curated record.